This is a long non-coding RNA of Daphnia pulicaria, 560 nucleotides long. RefSeq lists it as uncharacterized. Lineage: Eukaryota; Metazoa; Arthropoda; Branchiopoda; Diplostraca; Daphniidae. The transcript has 2 exons. The record is from RefSeq and is a predicted model, not a curated record.
GCCAUUCGGUCGCAAUUUCCGCCACAAUGUUAUGAUGUCGCAACGGUGCCCCUUCCUCUCCGUCCGUUUAUGGCGACGACAUGACAAAUUGCGUCUGACAUGUCUCAUUCUCAUCAUGUGUUGGGAUUUUUCGUUUAUCUACAAGGAAUGCUCGGGCAGUCGCUUCAGCAACAGCGGCUUUUACCACCUCAACAACAUCCGGGUAACAGCACGAUGGAGCAUGCAACAGCAGUCGCAAAUCUUCGACUUUAGAUUUGGCCAACUUGGCGGCUUGUUAGUCGGUCCAUCAAGGCCAGUAUCGAACCAUCAUCGCCUUCCACUGUUCCCAGCCGAUUUCACUUGUGUUUUGCAAACUUAGGCCUACUUCCGAUCUAUAAGGUCACAAAUGUGUAUCCAUUCAGAGAGGAAAUGAUGGAUAACAGUUCACGGUGUAUUCCCUGGGCUCUGGUGUACAUACUCCCUCACUCUCAGAGUUCUACGUACAAGUGGAAAUUUAAAUUACAGGGCUUUUUUGUUCGUUCCGCAUUGAUGUACGUUUCAUAUUAAAUUUUUAAAUUCGA